GUGAAGUCCCUGCGGAUGGAGCUGAGACCAGUCGAAGAUACCAGCUGGCUGCAACUGUUUAUUAAAAACACAGCACUGUGCAAACACGAAAGUGGACGUAUACGGUGUGACGCCUGCCCGGUGCCGGAAGGUUAAUUGAUGGGGUUAUCCGUAAGGAGAAGCUCUUGAUCGAAGCCCCGGUAAACGGCGGCCGUAACUAUAACGGUCCUAAGGUAGCGAAAUUCCUUGUCGGGUAAGUUCCGACCUGCACGAAUGGCGUAAUGAUGGCCAGGCUGUCUCCACCCGAGACUCAGUGAAAUUGAACUCGCUGUGAAGAUGCAGUGUACCCGCGGCAAGACGGAAAGACCCCGUGAACCUUUACUAUAGCUUGACACUGAACAUUGAGCCUUGAUGUGUAGGAUAGGUGGGAGGCUUUGAAGCGUGGACGCCAGUCUGCGUGGAGCCAACCUUGAAAUACCACCCUUUAAUGUUUGAUGUUCUAACGUUGGCCCCUUACCGGGGUUGCGGACAGUGUCUGGUGGGUAGUUUGACUGGGGCGGUCUCCUCCCAAAGCGUAACGGAGGAGCACGAAGGUUAGCUAAUCCUGGUCGGACAUCAGGAGGUUAGUGCAAUGGCAUAAGCUAGCUUGACUGCGAGCGUGACGGCGCGAGCAGGUGCGAAAGCAGGUCAUAGUGAUCCGGUGGUUCUGAAUGGAAGGGCCAUCGCUCAACGGAUAAAAGGUACUCCGGGGAUAACAGGCUGAUACCGCCCAAGAGUUCAUAUCGACGGCGGUGUUUGGCACCUCGAUGUCGGCUCAUCACAUCCUGGGGCUGAAGUAGGUCCCAAGGGUAUGGCUGUUCGCCAUUUAAAGUGGUACGCGAGCUGGGUUUAGAACGUCGUGAGACAGUUCGGUCCCUAUCUGCCGUGGGCGCUGGAGAAUUGAGGGGGGCUGCUCCUAGUACGAGAGGACCGGAGUGGACGCAUCACUGGUGUUCGGGUUGUCAUGCCAAUGGCACUGCCCGGUAGCUAAAUGCGGAAGAGAUAAGUGCUGAAAGCAUCUAAGCACGAAACUUGCCCCGAGAUGAGUUCUCCCUGAGACUUUAAGUCUCCUGAAGGAACGUUGAAGACGACGACGUUGAUAGGCCGGGUGUGUAAGCGCAGCGAUGCGUUGAGCUAACCGGUACUAAUGAACCGUGAGGCUUAACCUUACAACGCCGAAG
RNAcentral lists this ribosomal RNA (1199 nucleotides) under Klebsiella pneumoniae. RNAcentral's name for it is "bacterial LSU rRNA". It matches the Rfam family "Bacterial large subunit ribosomal RNA", at positions 1746 to 2925 of the family's 2925-position model. Lineage: Bacteria; Pseudomonadati; Pseudomonadota; Gammaproteobacteria; Enterobacterales; Enterobacteriaceae. The record is from RNAcentral.